AGCGCAGGUGGUUGUAUAAGUCUGAAGUAAAAGGCAGUGGCUCAACCAUUGUGUGCUUUGGAAACUGUACAACUUGAGUGCAGAAGGGGAGAGUGGAAUUCCAUGUGUAGCGGUGAAAUGCGUAGAUAUAUGGAGGAACACCGGUGGCGAAAGCGGCUCUCUGGACUGUAACUGACACUGAGGCACGAAAGCGUGGGAGCAAACA
RNAcentral lists this ribosomal RNA (205 nucleotides) under uncultured bacterium. RNAcentral's name for it is "partial 16S ribosomal RNA". It matches the Rfam family "Bacterial small subunit ribosomal RNA", at positions 568 to 774 of the family's 1533-position model. The record is from RNAcentral.